Molecule: ribosomal RNA, 523 nt
Filed under: uncultured bacterium
Lineage: Bacteria
Description: bacterial SSU rRNA
Rfam family: Bacterial small subunit ribosomal RNA
Source: RNAcentral
AAUAGAUACCCAGGUAGUCCACGCCGUAAACGAUGAGUGCUAGUUGUCGGCAUGCAUGCAUGUCGGUGACGCAGCUAACGCAUUAAGCACUCCGCCUGGGGAGUACGGUCGCAAGAUUAAAACUCAAAGGAAUUGACGGGGGGCCCGCACAAGCGGUGGAGCAUGUGGUUUAAUUCGAAGCGAACGCGCAGAACCUUACCACCUUUUGACAUGCCCGGACCACCAGAGAGAUCUGGCUUUCCCUUCGGGGACUGGGACACAGGUGCUGCAUGGCUGUCGUCAGCUCGUGUCGUGAGAUGUUGGGUUAAGUCCCGCAACGAGCGCAACCCACGCCAUUAGUUGCCAUCAUUUAGUUGGGCACUCUAAUGGGACCGCCGGUGGUAAGCCGGAGGAAGGUGUGGAUGACGUCAAGUCCUCAUGGCCCCUUACAGGGUGGGCUACACACGUGCUACAAUGGCGACUACAGAGGGUUGCAAGCCUGCGAAGGUGAGCCAAUCCCUAAAAGUCGUCUCAGUUCGGAUUG